GGAGCGAAAAGUGUUGCGGAGUCAUUACGUGGUGCACUUGCUUUCAGUAAAUUACUAGAGGUUUGCAUCAUAGCGAAAUAUGUCAGGUAAGCUGUUUUUCAUGUAUGUCUCACUACAGAUGGGCAGGCGUUCAUGGCUUACCCAUCAUUAGACGGGCGACCAAUUUCUGAGCGUCGGCAGGAUCCCCAGGGCAGUACGUACCUAUCUUCGGAGAGGGGUCGGAUUUUCGAGCAUCGGCGGGGUUCCCUGGAUGUCCCUGUAGGCAGAGCACACCCUUCUUCGGAAAGGGAUCCCGUUUCUGAGCGUUGGCAGGAUCUCCAAGGGACAAAUCUCUCAAAACCGGAAGAGAAGCGCCCCGUCGUCAUAAUUCCGGAGGAUAAAAGUGGUGAAGGUAAAUACAAAGCAGUUUUGUUUUUUGUAAAGCUGUCCGUUAGGACCUUUAUCACUUAGUAAAUAGUGGAUGCUAGUUUGGUCUUCCUGCCCAUCUCUAAGCGACGCACUGUCAUCUGGUUAGACAGAGGCUUACAUCCUUGUAUAUAAAUACCUGAUGAGAGGAUGUAAAGAAGAUCAUCCCGGCAGUGCAGAGUUUGUCCCCACAGCAUGGGUGAAAAGCAGCCCAGUAGCAGAGCCUGUCUCUCACCUACUGCCAACAUUGGUGGCUAUUUAUUCCCUUCUCCACUGGAUGCAAGAGCCAUUUGUACUUUCUCAUCAGACUGUCCGAUACUUUUGUUUAAAGGGGCACUACAAAGAGGAAUGUCCUGUGCACGACUAAUACUUUGUCUUUUUUAAUUUUUUUUGAAACUUGGCUGCAGGGAAGGUUGCAGGUUCCCUUCAAGGGAAAUGAUGAUUUACAUUCUGUGAGGACUUUCUGCCCAGGUCAGUCAGCUGCAACUUGUCAGUUAAAUUUGUGCCACCCGAAGACUCCCUGAAUAGUCUUUGCCCUAGGGAAUAUGGCACAGAGGUGUGCAGGUCCUGGGAGGCCUCAUGCCCAGUUCCCUGCAGUCAACUCCAGCAGCAAGUGGAUCCUGUCUGUGAACGAAGUACCUAUGAAGGAGCUAAACCAUCUGUCUGCAAAAGGAGGAGGAAGAUGAUUUAGGGCAUUCUAUGCUUUCUGCUGUCCUCUGCACCCCUGUGUAGAGGGCUCUACCCUCUGUUUCUCUGGGUAUUUUAAAGAACAGGGAAAACUCUUCCCCCGUUGCCUGUGAAUGGCCUCUCCCUGUCUCUUAGCAGUGGAAGGGGCGGGGGGAAGAAAGGUGCUGCAGCUUAGAGUCUUGCCAGGUCUCUCUGGUGAGGGUUGGUGUUCGCUCUCCGCUAGAUGUGGAUAUGUUGGGCAGAGCAGGAGCUCCUGCUGGCUCGGGCCAGUCCUAAAGAAAAGCAGGGGAAUCCCAUGAGUGGGAUAAGCUGCAGUGCCCAUGCUCUGUGACAGCCAGCACAUAGCAGGCAUCUGCGG
RNAcentral lists this long non-coding RNA (1450 nucleotides) under Struthio camelus australis. RNAcentral describes it as "lncRNA (ENSSCUG00000000071.1)". The record is from RNAcentral. Lineage: Eukaryota; Metazoa; Chordata; Aves; Struthioniformes; Struthionidae.